Molecule: long non-coding RNA, 2366 nt
Filed under: Ananas comosus (pineapple)
Lineage: Eukaryota; Viridiplantae; Streptophyta; Magnoliopsida; Poales; Bromeliaceae
Description: long non-coding RNA (ACOM_LNC009091)
Source: RNAcentral
UCUCAAACUUUGUAGCUGGUCUGACAAUCUCAUUAAAUGCCACAAUUCAAAUUGAGAUCAAUUGUCCUCACUUACCUGGCUUAUCAGAUUUAGUACAUAUAUCUUAUUGAAAACUAAAAGGAGAAACAUAGAAUUUUAGCUUGUGCAACACACAGAUCGAAGCUCAGUUUUAUUCAGGUAUAGAAAAGAGUACAGGCCGCCACGCCGCCUUUACCAACCGGCUUCGAAGACCAGCCGACCCGAACCUGAACCUCCUGCCGCCACCGCCGUCGCAGCCACUAUGAUGGCCAACAGGCACCGCCCUCCGUUGCGGCAAUAACCGGUGCUCACUGCCUUCCAAUGGCAGCGGUGACAACACAAAUAGCUCCCGGAGAGAGUUGCGGGUGAUCAGCCUCUCCCUCUUCGUCUCCGUACCCAACGGUUUAUCCGCAGAGCGAUAGCGUCGGCCAAGCAGGCGAUGCCAUGAUAGAGAGAAGCAUAGCUUGCUUUGAACUUUCCGGCAUCGAUGGUGAGUGACAGGGGCGAAGUUCUUCGACAGAAUUUGUGGCGGUCCUACACAUUGCGUCGCGAGCUGCUUGAUCCUGUCAAGAAGAAUUCUCAUCUUCUAUUCUCGCUCCACUGCGAGUAACAUACGAUUCUGUCACGCCCCGAGCCCGCCUCUUUGGUCGGAUUCGGGCACGCCAACAGACCGCCGAACGGACAGGGUUUCCCCUGCACGCGGACAGAGUCUCCCCUGUACGUUCAAGGCGUCGCAAUCAAUACAAGUACAAGAGGUUCCAAACAGGAACAAUUUUCAACAACGAUUGCAUAAGGAAGGUAUCAAUCAACAUAACACAUCCUAUGUUAUUACAAUCAUUCAUCUCAUCAUUUUACAUCGCAUUUUUCAUUACAUUGAUUCUCAACUUCCAAAUAUACAAUCGAUUUCUAAACAUAAUAUUACAACAUCAAUUCUUUUCUUUUCUUUUCUUAUACCCCUAAGAAGCCGACUCAGGAUGCUGCUAUCUGGUCUCUGUGGUAGGGCGCUAACUACGGAGCUACGCCCUUUCCUCGCGCCGCCGCGCCGCUCGCGUGUGAACCUGUACCCCCAAAAAAACAACAACACGGGGGUGAGACUAUUGUCCAUAGUCGUCAGUGGGUACAGCCACCCAAGUGAAAAGCUCAACCCACCAGGUCCAAAGGAGGCACUGCAACAUGUUAGUCCAACAGAUAUAUAUAUAUAUAUAACAUCAUGCAAUACAUGUUCAUGCCUCACAAAUAUGCAAAUUAUGCAACUCUUAGUCAUUCUUUACCAUUAGCCUUUUUUUAGAAUAUGCAAUUCUUUAUCAUUAGCCAUUCUUUAUUCUUUAAUCUUUAUUCUUCAUUCUUUAUUCUUUAUGCUUUAUUCUUUGUUCUUUAUCCUUUACUAAGGGCACUCGCGCCUUAGGCUCAUCAUACACAUUUGCCAUUCUUUAUAACAUUAACAAGUCUUUCUCAAUUAUCACUCUUUCCUAAGGUUACAUUUACCUUAGCCAACUUUGCCACUCGACUCGGUCUUGAGUCAAUUCAUAAUGAAUACAAGAUCAACUUUCCAAUUCAUGAUCCCUUUUUGUUCUUUGUUCUUUAAUCUCACGGCUAACCCGGGGGUUUCGCCACAUUAACUUGCUUCACAUUAAGUCCAUCAUCGCAGGAACUCACCCGGUAGGACCGUCCUUACGGGUCUACUCCAACCUGGAUGCCAAACUCCGGAGCGCAUCGCCCGAGGGGGAGCGACCGCCCUCGAGCACGGAACUCAUAGCAAGUAUGAUCAUAUCCUUAACUCAAAGGAUUUGUAGUUGAAUCAUGGCUUUACACUAACUCUAGUGUUCUUUACAUCACAUUAGUUGCUAACUCUAGAAAUCAUUGUUCUUUACAUUUCCUUUACUUUUGCUAACUCUAGCAGUCACGUUUUUCACAUUCCUUUACUUUAAGCUAUCUUUAGCUUUCACAUUCUUUAACUUUACACGUUCUUUAUGCCACAUUACAUUACAUUAUCUUUAGCCAUUAUCAUUAUUCUUUACAUCACAUUGCUUUGCCUUGUCUCAAGCCAUUAUCAUUAGGUUCUCACAUUAUAUUUCAUGCAUACACAUAGAUUAUUUAGAUUCUUAAUCAUUCUAAUAAGCACGUGUACUCACAUCAUGCAACAUUACAUUAUUAUCAUCACAUUGUUUUACAUUAUCUUUAGCCAUUAUCAUUGUUCUUUACAUCACAUUUAUUCUUUGAUGUCCCACACUAACUCUAGUGUCCACUUUACCAUUUCGAAUGCCACUCGAUCUAUGUUCAACAUGCAUAUAUUUUGUCAUCCAUUGGUAGUCAUUACUUAGCAUUUUAUGCAUUCGUUAACAUUUACU